GGGCUCGUAGCUCAGCUUGGAUUAGAGCGACUGUACGCAAUGUUUUUUGCUUAUCCGCUAAAGCCUCCUAAGCUGUAGGCCCUGGGUUCGAAUCCCAGCGGGCCCG
RNAcentral lists this transfer RNA (106 nucleotides) under Candidatus Woesearchaeota archaeon. RNAcentral's name for it is "tRNA-Arg". It matches the Rfam family "tRNA". Rfam says of the family: Transfer RNA (tRNA) molecules are approximately 80 nucleotides in length. The record is from RNAcentral. Lineage: Archaea; Nanobdellati; Candidatus Woesearchaeota.